Molecule: ribosomal RNA, 475 nt
Filed under: uncultured bacterium
Lineage: Bacteria
Description: bacterial SSU rRNA
Rfam family: Bacterial small subunit ribosomal RNA
Source: RNAcentral
UCAGUCGACUCCUACGGGGAGGCAGCAGUGGGGAAUAUUGCACAAUGGGGGAAACCCUGAUGCAGCCAUGCCGCGUGUGUGAAGAAGGCCUUCGGGUGUAAAGCACUUUCAGUAGGGAGGAAGGUAGUGUAGUUAACACCUGCACUAUUUGACGUUACCUACAGAAGAAGCACCGGCUAACUCCGUGCCAGCAGCCGCGGUAAUACGGAGGGUGCGAGCGUUAAUCGGAAUUACUGGGCGUAAAGCGCAUGCAGGCGGCCUGUUAAGUCAGAUGUGAAAGCCCGGGGCUUAACCUCGGAAUUGCAUUUGAAACUGGCAGGCUAGAGUCUUGUAGAGGGGGGUAGGAAUUUCAGGUGUAGCGGUGAAAUGCGUAGAGAUCUGAAGGAAUACCAGUGGCGAAGGCGGCCCCCUCGGACAAAGACUGACGCUCAGAUGCGAAAGCGUGGGGAGCAAACAGGAUUAGAUACCCUGGUAG